Long non-coding RNA from Cyprinus carpio carpio, 1835 nucleotides. Lineage: Eukaryota; Metazoa; Chordata; Actinopteri; Cypriniformes; Cyprinidae. The record is from Ensembl.
UUCCGCAUUCGCUUUAUUAUAUCCCCCUUGUUCAAUAAAUGAACGAUAGGCAUUUUAAGUACAUAUAAGUGGAAUUAUGCAAAACAUAGAACAUACAAUUUCACUCGAGUUAGUAAAAAAACGGAAUGACUUUCUUACGUGAACGCAUCUGACAAUCAUCUGAUGUAGAAUAUGUCGACGGACCAGCACCCUAGAAAUUUCAGAAACUUGGGCAUGUUGUUUCUUUUGAAUAAAUUACACUUAUAAGUGCCCAUGGUCUCCCUUUGUGCAAAUAUCAAAGGACACGGCGUGUCCCACGAUCAACAAACAGGGUAGUUUCACUGACUGAACAAUAAAUAUUACAUACAUCCAUGGAAUAUUCAGGAACUCAAAAUAUAGGCUACACCUGAUUUCUAGGCAUUUGGAGCACUAACCAGAUAUGAUUUAAUAAAACUGUACACAUUUACAGCAACAUGACUGAUUUGAAGAAGAAAAAGAAGAGACAAAAAAAAAAAAACUGCGCGGGAAUUCAUCAAGGUUGAUUUUCAUAAUAAAACAUUUUUUUUUCUCCAAUAUAUCUGAAAUGCAACCACUUGAACAGCAUCACCCAAUUUUCUCUGCGAUAGCGGCACAUGGUAGACUAGUUACAGAGUCAACAGGUUAGUCUGACGCGGCAGAAUUAUUCACAUUGAUAAGGGCGUACUGGAUUCGCUCAGCACACUGGUUUGUCAUUAAUAUCCAAUCAUGAUACAAACACAUGUGAUAUCUGAUAUGACGAUCGUGGCAUCACAUGUUCAUGCUCCACGUGUAUUGCGUUGAUUUCACAUUUAGAAUAUCUUUCAGAGUCUCAUAACGCCGCCGCGUACGCGGGAUACGGUUCAAGUUGUGGUUUGCCCAUUCCAGGUAGUAAAAUGUAGGCAAGAGGUGGCUGGAGCCCUGCAGACGGCCACGCCGCGCAGUUACACGGGAUCAUGUAGCCCGGGUUUCCCGGCGAUGGAUGGGAAUGCGUGUGGGUAUGUGCGCCCGCUCCGGAGAAAGCCGUCGCCGCUGUUGGGUAACCCAGCGGUGAGGCGUAUGAGAAAGACGGUGGAGAAAGUUCUGUCAUUUUUGAGCCGAGGUCAAAAAACGAAUAGGGGUUUGUAGACAUGGAAGGGUUGAAGAACACCCGUGCCGCGGCUGCCGCCGCCGCCGCAGCAGCUUUAUCUGGGUUGCUCAUUAACGACUCGGUAAGCGCUCCACUCGGUAAGCCGCCCACUUUCAGCGCCUCGUGCUCACCCAAAUUAUACGCCAUCGGGAACGCGAAUUUGUCUUUCUUCAUUAAAGUCUUGGGCUUUCGCCUGGGUCUGUAUUUGUAGUCAGGGUGUUCCUUCAUGUGCAUCGCCCGCAGUCGCUUCGCUUCGUCGAUGAACGGCCUCUUUUCAGACUCCGUCAAAAGUUUCCACUCCGCUCCUAAUCGCUUGCUGAUUUCGGAAUUGUGCAUUUUCGGAUUUUCUUGGGCCAUUUUCCGCCGCUGCGCUCGGGACCACACCAUGAACGCGUUCAUGGGACGCUUAACGUGAUCCAUGGACUUGGACAUGAUGGCAAGCGCUCGCUUCACCUGCUCAGGCUGGCUGGUCCCAUGAAGACUGCUGCGGAUUGUUAAACUGACCCUGCGCUGAGGGAAUAACUCUGAGUUAAUCAUUUUUAAGGUGGGGUUACGGUGUUUCGGCGCAUGAUGGAAAGGGGAGCAGUUUGUGUAAUUGGAGUGCAAAUAAGGUUUGAUCAGUGUCCAGUUUAAUCGAGCGCUGAAGCAGUGUUUAGCGGCUCUAAAUCAGAGGGACGGGAGGCCCGCGGGGAUUCAGCCUGACAGACGGGGC